GCUUAGCCAUAAACACAGACAACUACAAACACAACGUUGUCCGCCAGAGGACUACAAGCGAAAAACUCGAAACUCCAAGGACUUGGCGGUGCUCCACACCAGCCUAGAGGAGCCUGUCCUAUAAUCGAUACCCCACGUUAGACCUUACCACCUUUUGCCAACCAGCCUAUAUACCGCCGUCGUCAGCCUACCCUGUGAAAGAACCAACAGUAGGCACAACAGUUAUUAACUAGCACGUCAGGUCAAGGUGUAGCACAUAAGGUGGAAGAGAUGGGCUACAUUUUCUGCCACAGAACAAACGAACGGCACAAUGAAACACGUACCCGAAGGUGGAUUUAGCAGUAAGACAGACAAGAAAUGCUAUCUUAAACCCGCUCUGGAGCGCGCACACACCGC
Molecule: ribosomal RNA, 396 nt
Filed under: Chalcides ocellatus
Lineage: Eukaryota; Metazoa; Chordata; Lepidosauria; Squamata; Scincidae
Description: partial 12S ribosomal RNA
Rfam family: Bacterial small subunit ribosomal RNA
Source: RNAcentral